Molecule: ribosomal RNA, 449 nt
Filed under: uncultured bacterium
Lineage: Bacteria
Description: bacterial SSU rRNA
Rfam family: Bacterial small subunit ribosomal RNA
Source: RNAcentral
AANACGCUGGCGGUAUGCUUAACACAUGCAAGUCGAACGAAAUCUUCNGAUUUAGUGGCGGACGGGUGAGUAACGCGUGAGGAACUACCUUUAGUUCGGGGACAACAGUUGGAAACGACUGCUAAUACCGGAUGAGCCGAGAGGUAAAAGAUUUAUUGACUAGAGAUGUACUCGCGUCUGAUUAGCUAGUUGGUGGGGUAAGAGCCUACCAAGGCAACGAUCAGUAGCUGUUCUGAGAGGAAGAUCAGCCACACUGGGACUGAGACACGGCCCAGACUCCUACGGGAGGCAGCAGUGGGGAAUUUUCCGCAAUGGGCGAAAGCCUGACGGAGCAAUACCGCGUGUGGGAGGAAGGCCCUUGGGUCGUAAACCACUUUUCUUAGGGAAGAAGAUCUGACAGUACCUAAGGAAUAAGCCUCGGCUAACUCCGUGCCAGCAGCCGCGGUAAU